This 325-nucleotide ribosomal RNA is filed under the name Nodularia spumigena CHS1. Its description in RNAcentral is "bacterial SSU rRNA". It matches the Rfam family "Bacterial small subunit ribosomal RNA", at positions 383 to 723 of the family's 1533-position model. The record is from RNAcentral. Lineage: Bacteria; Bacillati; Cyanobacteriota; Cyanophyceae; Nostocales; Nodulariaceae.
CUGACGGAGCAAUACCGCGUGAGGGAGGAAGGCUCUUGGGUUGUAAACCUCUUUUCUCAGGGAAGAAAAAAAUGACGGUACCUGAGGAAUAAGCAUCGGCUAACUCCGUGCCAGCAGCCGCGGUAAUACGGAGGAUGCAAGCGUUAUCCGGAAUGAUUGGGCGUAAAGGGUCCGCAGGUGGCUAUGUAAGUCUGCUGUUAAAGAACCUAGCUUAACUAGGUAAAAGCAGUGGAAACUACAAGGCUAGAGUGCGUUCGGGGUAGAGGGAAUUCCUGGUGAGCGGUGAAAUGCGUAGAUAUCAGGAAGAACACCAGUGGCGAAGGCG